Molecule: ribosomal RNA, 360 nt
Filed under: Staphylococcus aureus
Lineage: Bacteria; Bacillati; Bacillota; Bacilli; Caryophanales; Staphylococcaceae
Description: bacterial SSU rRNA
Rfam family: Bacterial small subunit ribosomal RNA
Source: RNAcentral
GACGGUCUUGCUGUCACUUAUAGAUGGAUCCGCGCUGCAUUAGCUAGUUGGUAAGGUAACGGCUUACCAAGGCAACGAUGCAUAGCCGACCUGAGAGGGUGAUCGGCCACACUGGAACUGAGACACGGUCCAGACUCCUACGGGAGGCAGCAGUAGGGAAUCUUCCGCAAUGGGCGAAAGCCUGACGGAGCAACGCCGCGUGAGUGAUGAAGGUCUUCGGAUCGUAAAACUCUGUUAUUAGGGAAGAACAUAUGUGUAAGUAACUGUGCACAUCUUGACGGUACCUAAUCAGAAAGCCACGGCUAACUACGUGCCAGCAGCCGCGGUAAUACGUAGGUGGCAAGCGUUAUCCGGAAUUAU